RNAcentral lists this microRNA precursor (89 nucleotides) under Pongo abelii (Sumatran orangutan). RNAcentral describes it as "mir-544 microRNA precursor family". It matches the Rfam family "mir-544 microRNA precursor family". The record is from Rfam by way of RNAcentral. Lineage: Eukaryota; Metazoa; Chordata; Mammalia; Primates; Hominidae.
AUUACUGGGAAAUCUUGUUAAAAUGUAGAUUUUUCAUUAGGUAUGGGCCUAAGAUUCUGCAUUUCUAGCAAGCUCUCAGGUGAUGCUGA